RNAcentral lists this non-coding RNA (45 nucleotides) under Schistosoma margrebowiei. The record is from RNAcentral. Lineage: Eukaryota; Metazoa; Platyhelminthes; Trematoda; Strigeidida; Schistosomatidae.
AUUUAGUUGACGAGUCCCAAAUAGGACGAAACAUGCGUCCUAGUU